Molecule: ribosomal RNA, 451 nt
Filed under: Salmonella enterica subsp. enterica serovar Agona
Lineage: Bacteria; Pseudomonadati; Pseudomonadota; Gammaproteobacteria; Enterobacterales; Enterobacteriaceae
Description: bacterial SSU rRNA
Rfam family: Bacterial small subunit ribosomal RNA
Source: RNAcentral
GUUGUGAAAUGUUGGGUUAAGUCCCGCAACGAGCGCAACCCUUAUCCUUUGUUGCCAGCGGUUAGGCCGGGAACUCAAAGGAGACUGCCAGUGAUAAACUGGAGGAAGGUGGGGAUGACGUCAAGUCAUCAUGGCCCUUACGACCAGGGCUACACACGUGCUACAAUGGCGCAUACAAAGAGAAGCGACCUCGCGAGAGCAAGCGGACCUCAUAAAGUGCGUCGUAGUCCGGAUUGGAGUCUGCAACUCGACUCCAUGAAGUCGGAAUCGCUAGUAAUCGUGGAUCAGAAUGCCACGGUGAAUACGUUCCCGGGCCUUGUACACACCGCCCGUCACACCAUGGGAGUGGGUUGCAAAAGAAGUAGGUAGCUUAACCUUCGGGAGGGCGCUUACCACUUUGUGAUUCAUGACUGGGGUGAAGUCGUAACAAGGUAACCGUAGGGGAACCUGC